RNAcentral lists this microRNA (25 nucleotides) under Homo sapiens (human). RNAcentral's name for it is "hsa-miR-3143". Lineage: Eukaryota; Metazoa; Chordata; Mammalia; Primates; Hominidae. The record is from miRBase by way of RNAcentral.
AUAACAUUGUAAAGCGCUUCUUUCG